UUGGUGGUAUAGCAACUUUAAAACUCACACUCAAUCAGGAGAGUGAGGAUUAGGAUGAUCUAGAAGUCAGUCUUUUUUUUUGGCACAGUAAUAAUUUUUCUUUCAGGUUUCCGCUUCAAGCAUGACCCUUUUGCCUGUGGGAUGAGCUCCAGCAUGGGGUGAGGUACAGAAGAGAGACUUGAAGAGCGUGCCUUGGGACUCAAGCGCCAAACCUGUACCCUAGCGAGUGUCCUACUCCGCAUCCGUAAUGGAAGGAAAUGCACAUCUUACUCCAGAGGCACAACAGGGGGACAUCCCAUGCGGCUACUCCUGCCCAGCGUGGUGGGGCAGCAGAAGCUCCAGAGCCCAGACUUGCAGAUUCAUCAUAUUCAGACCUUCACAAACAACUUGGAUAUCCUGACAAUUAUUAUAGAGUGGAUGCCCCUUGCUUCUCCCCAGCCUUUCCUGAAAAUGGGAAAAGUGUUCUUGGAUAAUGC
RNAcentral lists this long non-coding RNA (476 nucleotides) under Pan troglodytes (chimpanzee). RNAcentral describes it as "long non-coding RNA NONPTRT008795". Lineage: Eukaryota; Metazoa; Chordata; Mammalia; Primates; Hominidae. The record is from RNAcentral.